Long non-coding RNA from Corapipo altera (White-ruffed manakin), 601 nucleotides. RefSeq lists it as uncharacterized. The record is from RefSeq and is a predicted model, not a curated record. The transcript has 2 exons. Lineage: Eukaryota; Metazoa; Chordata; Aves; Passeriformes; Pipridae.
GGUUGGGGACACCUUGCCAAAGCUCCGUGUCACCAAGUCCCGCGGUCUGGCCUUGAGGACACCUGCACCACAGAAACACCUCCAAAACGCUCCGGGUCAGAAAGGAAGGAGUUGACUGCGUGGGGGCUCCACACAGCACCGCUCUAUCCCGUCUAUCCCGUCGCAUGCUCCGAGGAGCACUGAGACGUGGCCACGUCACCACCAGUACUAUGUCAUCACGUGUCACAAAGGCCCUGUGACAACCUGCCCUGUUCCAUGCCAUCAGCAAUGCCCACCGUGUCACGAAGGGCCCUGUGACACACUGCCACCUGCCCUGGGGCCUCCCCCAGCCCAGCCACCUGCCCCAGGGGGCUGUUGGGAGCAGCACUUGGAGCAAUUGGUGGCAGCGCUCGGCAUCUGUCAGAACACAGGAGCACUUUCUCCUUGCAGGAAUGAUUUUUGCAUGGAAGUGAUGACCUGCAGCAGAAAACCACCAUCAGUUGCUGAGUUUCACAUGAAGAUUAGAUUGCUCAGAAAUCCUGUCAAGCUUCCUCGUGUUAUUUGGACUUUUUUUCUGCAUUCUGCAAAAUAAAAGCUGUCCAGUCUGACGUUCAAAGCUCCA